This 352-nucleotide ribosomal RNA is filed under the name Sanogasta sp. 'lacolo'. RNAcentral describes it as "partial 16S ribosomal RNA". Lineage: Eukaryota; Metazoa; Arthropoda; Arachnida; Araneae; Anyphaenidae. The record is from RNAcentral.
UUGUGCUAAGGUAGCAUAAUCAUUUGUCUUUUAAUUGAAGACUAGAACAAAAGAUUUAACAAUCCAAUUAAUAUAUUAAAUUAAUUAAAUUAAUUUAUUUUAAAUGUUAAAAAACAUUUAUAAAACAGAAAGACGACAAGACCCUAUUAAACUUAACUGUAGUUAAACUGGGGAAGUUUAUCAAUUAUUAUUUUAUAUAAAAUAAAAUAAAAAAAGAUCCAAUACAAUUGAUUACAUGAUCAAGUUACUAUAGGGAUAACAGCGUUAUAUUUAUCUAAAGAUCUUAUAAAAAUAAAAACUUGCGACCUCGAUGUUGAAUUAAUAACCUAAAUUGUUGCAGUAAACAAAUAAA